CGCGUAGGCGGGCCUUCAAGUCGGGUGUGAAAACUGGCGGCUCAACUGCCAGCCUGCACUCGAUACUGUCGGCCUUGAGUACGGGAGAGGAAAGCGGAAUUCCAGGUGUAGCGGUGAAAUGCGUAGAUAUCUGGAAGAACACCAGUAGCGAAGGCGGCUUUCUGGCCCGAUACUGACGCUAAAGCGCGAAGGCUUGGGUAGCAAACA
This 207-nucleotide ribosomal RNA is filed under the name uncultured bacterium. RNAcentral's name for it is "partial 16S ribosomal RNA". It matches the Rfam family "Bacterial small subunit ribosomal RNA", at positions 568 to 774 of the family's 1533-position model. The record is from RNAcentral.